RNAcentral lists this ribosomal RNA (253 nucleotides) under uncultured bacterium. Its description in RNAcentral is "partial 16S ribosomal RNA". It matches the Rfam family "Bacterial small subunit ribosomal RNA", at positions 524 to 776 of the family's 1533-position model. The record is from RNAcentral.
UACGUAGGGUGCAAGCGUUGUCCGGAAUUAUUGGGCGUAAAGAGCUCGUAGGCGGUCUGUCGCGUCGGCUGUGAAAACCCGGAGCUCAACUCCGGGCCUGCAGUCGAUACGGGCAAACUGGAGUGUUGCAGGGGAGACUGGAAUUCCUGGUGUAGCGGUGAAAUGCGCAGAUAUCAGGAGGAACACCGGUGGCGAUGGCGGGUCUCUGGGCAACAACUGACGCUGAGGAGCGAAAGCGUGGGGAGCGAACAGG